UACACACCGCCCGUCACGCCAUGGGAGGUUGGGGCUGCCUGAAGAGGCCGAGCUAACCUUAGGGAGGCCGGUCUCAAUGGUGGAACCGAUGACUGGGGUG
Molecule: ribosomal RNA, 100 nt
Filed under: uncultured bacterium
Lineage: Bacteria
Description: partial 16S ribosomal RNA
Rfam family: Bacterial small subunit ribosomal RNA
Source: RNAcentral